Molecule: non-coding RNA, 23 nt
Filed under: Arabidopsis thaliana (thale cress)
Lineage: Eukaryota; Viridiplantae; Streptophyta; Magnoliopsida; Brassicales; Brassicaceae
Source: RNAcentral
GGAUCUUAGGGCUCGAUUUGGUC